AAGUAGGAGAGCACACAUUGGGAGGCUCAACCGCCAUUUCCCUCUCGGCUCUCUAAGAGGGUGGGCAGAUCUGGAUUCUAAGCCAUUUCACAGCAAACACGCGUCUCUAACCACCAGCAUUGGUUUAACUGGGGCUGCUUCCAAACCAGGUCCUCUCCUGCCUGCUACUUCCUUAAAAAGAAGCAAAACCGCCGAGGAUUUUGCUGUAGGACCCGAGGGAACCCCAGGCUUUGUCCCUUGAGAAUGGGGUUCUCCAAAGAAACCCAUGUAAAUCACUACAGAUCGUUGCCAUGGGGACAGCAUACACUCACAGGCAGCCAAAGGCAAGACUGAGGAUGGAUCAUGUGACCAGAUGGCUGCCAGUGGUCCCUGGCAGUUUGAGAGAGAAAAUCCAAAAGAUGGAGAGAGUGGAAGCAUCAAAAGAUAAAACACACAAGAGACACAGGAGAAGAGUUCUGGGGACCACAGGAGGAAGGGCAGAAAGGACAUCUGGCGAGCACGUGAAGGAAAGACAUCGCACUAGCACGUGGAGGAGAAGACAGCGGGAGGGGGGCUGGGGGAAGCACGCGGAGGAGAGGACAUGGGGCGAGCGCGUGGAGGAGAGGAUAUUGGGAGAGCAAGUGGAGGAGAGGACAUGGGGCGAGCAGGUGGAGAAGAGACCAUUGGGUGAGCAUGUUGAAAGAACAUGGGGCGAGCGCGUUGAAAGCAAGAAAGACAAGAGUAAGGCAGAAGGAGCGAGCAUGAGCGAGCUGUGCGCCAAGAGAAUGAGAAGGAUGGAGACCUGUUCCUAGCAAAACCAGGGGAAGGGGGGACCUAAUAAGAAGCAAUUAGAAGGAAAGUGAAAAGACUUAUUCUAGGAGUUUGGUGUUAAAAAGCAAAUGAAGUGGAAAUUUUGUAAGUGUUAAACUCUACCCAAAAACAGUAUGAGGGGAAAUUUUCACACAGUAUAACUUAAAACAAGU
RNAcentral lists this long non-coding RNA (962 nucleotides) under Mus caroli (Ryukyu mouse). Its description in RNAcentral is "lncRNA (MGP_CAROLIEiJ_G0006124.1)". The record is from RNAcentral. Lineage: Eukaryota; Metazoa; Chordata; Mammalia; Rodentia; Muridae.